GGCUCAAUGGUCUAGUAGUAUGAUUCGCGCUUCGGGGUUUGUCCCAGUGAUUACGUAAUCAUUAAUCUGUGCGAGGUCCCGGGUUCAACUCCCGGUUGAGCCC
Molecule: transfer RNA, 103 nt
Filed under: Armillaria gallica
Lineage: Eukaryota; Fungi; Basidiomycota; Agaricomycetes; Agaricales; Physalacriaceae
Description: tRNA-Pro
Source: RNAcentral